UUAUUAUUAUUAAAUUACUUUUGUAUUUCAGUUUUAAAUAAUUUCAUUUACAUAUAAAUUUUUAAAUUUUUUGCUUAUUUAUGUACAUAUUUCAUACGGAUUGUGCUUAUUUUUAGUAUAUGUUGGGGGUUACGAGUGAUAUAAGGCUAUUGGGCAACCGCACACUAAAUACUAACCUCAAUGGUGGUAUGGAAACUAAAAAUUCCAGACCUUUGGUUCAAAAAUACCCAAUUCAUGUUUCUACCGGUGUGGCAAAAUAUUGGAAAAUGUUAUAAAAAAUGCACAUUUUCCAGCGCUCUCACGAGAAAAAGAGUUUCACAUCUAGUCAUCUAUGGACUAUAGUGGGUCGAGCGAAACACUGCAUCACAGAACAACGAAAGCAGAUUCUGAAAUUGAGAGCAGAUAGAAGAUUUAAAUCCAAUCAAAUUUGUGGAAAAGGCCGAAAAAACAGGAGAAAAACGAAAAACUUCCCUGCAAGACAACCGCAAAAUUGUAAGGUGCUCCAAAGAGAAUCCCAUGAAGUGAGCCAUACAAAUUAAAAAUGAGGUGAACUUAAAAAUAAUGAAUGUUAUGUUGCCGUAUUGCAGAGAGGAAAUGCCAAUAAAAUGGGUCUACCAGCGAGAUAAUUACGCUAAACACACGAGUCGGAAGGUCAAGGAUUGGUUUCGCGCAAAUGCAAUUUUAUUUUUGGUUAUGGAACGGCCAUCUCAAUCCCCCGACCUCAAUCAAUAAAAAAUCUGUGGGGGGGACUGAAAAAGAGCUGUACGCAAUGCCAAACCGAGUAACUAUCAACAACUUUGGGAAAUUGUUAAAGAUGCGUGGCUGAAGAUCCAGAUGCAGCGGCGUGAUCAAUUGGUAGGCUCAAUGGCCCAUCAUUGUACUGCCAUUAAAAAAAAUUGGGAAAUUUAACUAAAUAUAAGUUAAAAUUUUGUAUCUGCAAACUUUGGCAAUACAGUUUUUCUUUUAAGCUUGGUCAAACUGCCUUACUUAUAUGACCACUACUACUUUGGUGUUAACCCUGAAUUUCAAACUUUGUUAUAAAAAGUAUUGUUUUUCGUUAUAGAAAUUAUUUAAAUAUGUGUUCAGUUAGAGAGUAAAUAUUUUUUCAAAAUAAUAAUAAGCACCUUGUAAUCACAUCAUAGAUUUUCAAAAAUAUAUUUUUGGUACUGCUGCUUUCGUGUCCGCAACUGUACAUCACAA
Long non-coding RNA from Anastrepha ludens (Mexican fruit fly), 1200 nucleotides. RefSeq lists it as uncharacterized. NCBI's taxonomy places the organism in Eukaryota, Metazoa, Arthropoda, Insecta, Diptera, Tephritidae. The record is from RefSeq and is a predicted model, not a curated record. The transcript has 2 exons.